GAUGAACGCUGGCGGCGUGCCUAACACAUGCAAGUCGAGCGAUUCUCCUCGGAGGAGAGCGGCGGACGGGUGAGUAACGCGUGGGUAACCUGCCCUGUACACACGGAUAACAUACCGAAAGGUAUGCUAAUACGGGAUAAUAUGCUUUAGUCGCAUGGCUGAAGUAUCAAAGCUCCGGCGGUACAGGAUGGACCCGCGUCUGAUUAGCUAGUUGGUAAGGUAAUGGCUUACCAAGGCGACGAUCAGUAGCCGACCUGAGAGGGUGAUCGGUCACAUUGGAACUGAGACACGGUCCAAACUCCUACGGGAGGCAGCAGUGGGGAAUAUUGCACAAUGGGCGAAAGCCUGAUGCAGCAACGCCGCGUGAGCGAUGAAGGCCUUCGGGUCGUAAAGCUCUGUCCUCAAGGAAGAUAAUGACGGUACUUGAGGAGGAAGCCCCGGCUAACUACGUGCCAGCAGCCGCGGUAA
Molecule: ribosomal RNA, 468 nt
Filed under: uncultured bacterium
Lineage: Bacteria
Description: partial 16S ribosomal RNA
Rfam family: Bacterial small subunit ribosomal RNA
Source: RNAcentral